AUGGCUCAGUGGUUAAGAGCACUGACUGUUCAUCCAGAGGUCUGAGUUCAAAUCCCAGU
This 59-nucleotide transfer RNA is filed under the name Rattus norvegicus (Norway rat). It matches the Rfam family "tRNA", at positions 7 to 64 of the family's 71-position model. From Rfam's summary of the family: Transfer RNA (tRNA) molecules are approximately 80 nucleotides in length. Their secondary structure includes four short double-helical elements and three loops (D, anti-codon, and T loops). The record is from Rfam by way of RNAcentral. Lineage: Eukaryota; Metazoa; Chordata; Mammalia; Rodentia; Muridae.